CAGUAGCCGCGGUAAUACGUAGGUGGCAAGCGUUGUCCGGAAUUAUUGGGCGUAAAGGGCUCGCAGGCGGUUUCUUAAGUCUGAUGUGAAAGCCCCCGGCUCAACCGGGGAGGGUCAUUGGAAACUGGGAAACUUGAGUGCAGAAGAGGAGAGUGGAAUUCCACGUGUAGCGGUGAAAUGCGUAGAGAUGUGGAGGAACACCAGUGGCGAAGGCGACUCUCUGGUCUGUAACUGACGCUGAGGAGCGAAAGCGUGGGGAGCGGACAGGAUUAGAUACCCGGGUAGUCCCUGUCUCUUAUAA
This 301-nucleotide ribosomal RNA is filed under the name uncultured bacterium. RNAcentral's name for it is "partial 16S ribosomal RNA". It matches the Rfam family "Bacterial small subunit ribosomal RNA", at positions 509 to 809 of the family's 1533-position model. The record is from RNAcentral.